GAUGAACGCUGGCGGCGUGCCUAAUACAUGCAAGUCGAGCGAACGGACGAGAAGCUUGCUUCUCUGAUGUUAGCGGCGGACGGGUGAGUAACACGUGGAUAACCUACCUAUAAGACUGGGAUAACUUCGGGAAACCGUAGCUAAUACCGGAUAAUAUUUUGAACCGCAUGGUUCAAAAGUGAAAGACGGUCUUGCUGUCACUUAUAGAUGGAUCCGCGCUGCAUUAGCUAGUUGGUAAGGUAACGGCUUACCAAUGCAACGAUGCAUAGCCGACCUGAGAGGCGGGGCGGCCACAAUGAAAAUGAGACACGGUUCAGACGAAGACGGGAGGCAGCAGUAGGGAAUCAUCCGCGAUGGGCGAAAGCCUGACAGAGCAACGACGCGUGAAUGAAGAAGGUCUUCGGAGCGUAAAACUCUGUUAUUAGUGAAGAACAUAUGUGUAAGUAACUGUGCAAAUAUUGACGGCACCUAAACAGAAAGCCACGGCUAACGAAG
This 495-nucleotide ribosomal RNA is filed under the name uncultured bacterium. Its description in RNAcentral is "partial 16S ribosomal RNA". It matches the Rfam family "Bacterial small subunit ribosomal RNA", at positions 28 to 505 of the family's 1533-position model. The record is from RNAcentral.